GACGAACGCUGGCGGCGUGCUUAACACAUGCAAGUCGAACGGAAAGGCCCUGCUUUUGUGGGGUGCUCGAGUAGCGAACGGGUGAGUAACACGUGAGUAACCUGCCCUUGACUUUUGGAUAACUUCAGGAAACUGGGGCUAAUACCGGAUAGGAGCUCCUGCUGCAUGGUGGGGGUUGGAAAGUUUCGGCGGUUGGGGAUGGACGCGCGGCUUAUCAGCUUGUUGGUGGGGUGGUGGCUUACCAAGGCUUUGACGGGUAGCCGGCCUGGGAGGGUGACCGGCCACAUUGGGACUGAGAUAGGGCCCAGCCUGAUACGGGAGGCAGGAGGGGGGAAGAUUGCAUAAUGGGCGGAAGGCUGAUGCAGGAACGGCGGGUGCGGGAUGAAGGCCUUCGGGUUGUAAACCGAUUUCGCCUGUGACGAAGCGUGAGUGACGGUAAUGGGUAAAGAAGCACCGGCUAACUACGUG
Molecule: ribosomal RNA, 468 nt
Filed under: uncultured bacterium
Lineage: Bacteria
Description: partial 16S ribosomal RNA
Rfam family: Bacterial small subunit ribosomal RNA
Source: RNAcentral